UACGGAGGAUCCGAGCGUUAUCCGGAUUUAUUGGGUUUAAAGGGAGCGUAGGUGGAUUGUUAAGUCAGUUGUGAAAGCCCCCGGCUUAACCGAGGAAUUGCAUCGGAAACUGUGUUUCUUGAGUGCAGAAGAGGAGAGUGGAACUCCAUGUGUAGCGGUGGAAUGCGUAGAUAUAUGGAAGAACACCAGUGGCGAAGGCGGCUCUCUGGUCUGUAACUGACGCUGAGGCUCGAAAGCAUGGGUAGCGAACAGG
RNAcentral lists this ribosomal RNA (253 nucleotides) under uncultured Lactobacillus sp. RNAcentral describes it as "partial 16S ribosomal RNA". It matches the Rfam family "Bacterial small subunit ribosomal RNA", at positions 524 to 776 of the family's 1533-position model. The record is from RNAcentral. Lineage: Bacteria; Bacillati; Bacillota; Bacilli; Lactobacillales; Lactobacillaceae.